GUUCUUGCUUAGGCAGCACACAUACUAAAAUUGGAAUACAGAAAGGAUUAGCAAGGCCUCUCUGUAAGGAUGACAUGCAUAUUUGUGAAACCUUCCAUAACUUU
RNAcentral lists this small nuclear RNA (104 nucleotides) under Meriones unguiculatus (Mongolian gerbil). The record is from RNAcentral. Lineage: Eukaryota; Metazoa; Chordata; Mammalia; Rodentia; Muridae.